GCCCUGGGGUACGGGCGAGUGAAAGGAACGAGUUCAGCGCUGAAUCCUUUAGCCUCUGGUUAAAGGACCUGUGGCGUGAAGGAGAGCCUAUCUGUCGGGUUCUAUACCUCGGAAGCUCCCUCGAAUGGGACCCCAAAGCAGGUGCGAGGCCUGUAACGAGGUGACGCCUGACAGUUUGCGCCUCCGUAGAGUCGGGUUACUUGAGAGUGUAGCCCUAAGUUGAAGGUAAACCCCUUCUAAAACUAAAUACGACCACGAGACCGAUAGCGAACAAGUACCGCGAGGGAAAGUUGAAAAGAACUUUGAAGAGAGAGUUCAAAAGGGCGUGAAACCGCUUAGAAGAAAACGGACGGAGCCGUCAGGAGCCUUCGGGAAUCAGUCUUACGAUUCGCGAACGUGCCCGGGUACCAGAACGUGAGUCUGGCCAGGGUUCUAUUAGUAGCGAUCGCGCGACGCAUUUCUCGAGGGUAAGCACUGCGACCGAUACGAAAGGCUGACGAAGCGAUUGGAUUGAGGUCGAGUCCUUUCGGGGAUUCGUUACCAGUCUUUUCGCCUGAAUCGUCAGACCGCAGUAUGUAUCGAGUGCCUAGAAUAUACGUCGGCGUAAAUCGCUCGUCGGAGUGACGGAUAGUCGAUUAAUUAGUUGGUACCUGCUCGCAGGGACUAGCGAAUUUAGUUGACUCAGAAGUUACCGGCGACGAAUAGACGUAUUGGCGUCGGCAGUGUCAGUGUCGGCCACCCGUCCGACCCGUCUUGAAACACGGACCAAGGAGUCUAACAUAUGCGCAAGCCAAUGGGUGGAAAACCCAAAGGCGCAAUAAAAGUAAACGCUGUUUCGGACAGCUAAGAUACGAUCCUAGACUCUGUCUAGGCGCAGUAUCGUCCCGUCUCGACCGCAUGUCGGUAGGGCGGAGAUAGAGUGCAUACGUUGGGACCCGAAAGAUGGUGAACUAUGCCUGAGCAGAGCGAAGCCAGAGGAAACUCUGGUGGAGGUUCGUAGCGGUUCUGACGUGCAAAUCGAUCGUCAGACUUGGGUAUAGGGCGAAAGACCUUUCGCC
This 1058-nucleotide ribosomal RNA is filed under the name Ecumenicus sp. 2 HMM2018. RNAcentral describes it as "eukaryotic LSU rRNA". It matches the Rfam family "Eukaryotic large subunit ribosomal RNA", at positions 77 to 941 of the family's 3401-position model. The record is from RNAcentral. Lineage: Eukaryota; Metazoa; Nematoda; Enoplea; Dorylaimida; Qudsianematidae.